Molecule: unclassified non-coding RNA, 201 nt
Filed under: Hevea brasiliensis (rubber tree)
Lineage: Eukaryota; Viridiplantae; Streptophyta; Magnoliopsida; Malpighiales; Euphorbiaceae
Source: RNAcentral
GCCGACAAGGGUUGGUUUAUAAUUAGUUGCAAGAUUCAAUUAGCGCUACCAUUAGGUUGAGUAUUUGAGUCUCUCAAUUAGAAUAAGAAGGUUAGCGGUAUGUACCGACUCUGGACUGGGUGCCUCUCCUCACCUAAAGGUUUCAAUUCAAAAUUUCCCAGGUACCAAAAAGACAAUAAUAUUCUUCAGGUUAGAGGAGAA